AUGCUGGUCUCCACUGCUCCUCGUUGCGCUUGCUUUACUUGGCUCACGCCCUCCUCACCGGGCACGCCCCUUCCACCUCCUUAUUGGCUUCCUCGAGACACGUGCGGAAAGGGUGGUGGCGGAGCUGGGCUGGGGCCCGGACUCCGGAUGGACCCGAGCGGCCGAGCGGUCUCAAACUUGAGGUCGCAUGGACAGCCUGGCGCUGGGCCGGUGGCGACGGCGGAAGCUAGAGGAAGCGCCGGUUCCGAGGGACGCGAAACGGGCAUGCAGGACAUCAGAAGCCAAUGGACACGAGCGAGGCAGCCAUCAGGUGAACAUGAGUGUCCUGGGGUCUUGGAGCACAGAGGACAUGGAGUCUCUUCCAAGAGGCUGCCCCAAUGCAGCAGGGCCACCGGGCAGCCAGGGAAGGGCUGGCUCAGUGAUUCCUCAAAACGGUGGAAGGAACAUGAUUCAGCUUUGCCCAAGGUGUAUUGCUGGGGAAUCUGUCUUUUCAUUCUGCCUCCAGCAUGUUUUUCAAAUGUACCUCCUGGACCAUGGAAAGGGCAGGAGAUGUCUCGGGACAUUUUAACCAUACUGAGAAUCGUUAGAAGAUGGAAAUGGGCAAAGGUAAAGAUUCCAGUUUGAUUUUGAAUCCUCAGCGUGACUGCAAAUGUAAAUCCUUUACAGAUGGUUUUGGUACCCACCUGUUCAAAUAGCAGCCUGGUGCUGUUUGCUGCGAGAUUGUCCUCUCAUUCUGGUGAUACACCAUCCUCUGCAUGAGAACCAGGAGAGUCCAUGUCACUUUCGAAGGGCCCCUAAGUUGUUAUGAUUCACUACGGCCUCCAUUCAGAUGUGUCUUGCCUAAGAGAGAGACCAGCUGCAUUAUUUGAAAGUUAAAAAAAAUUCGUAUCAAACUUUCUAUGAGGUUUGGGAACCCUGUGGCUUAUGGAAUCAUAUCCAGAUGUUGCCCUGCUUUUCUAUUUUCAUAAUGCUUUAUGGGUGUAUCCAGGACUGCUCAUGUACUCUUUUUAAUUAAAAGAGUUAUUUUUAUAUUAUAAAAUGUUCUUAAAGUGAAUUUUAUUAAACAUUAGUAUCCAAUCUGUUCUGUGUCAUUCUCCAACUGAAGUUACCAAGGACAGGACCCCUUUUAUAUUAAAUGGAAAUUGCUCAUUUUCUCUUGGGUUUUCAGUGUUUUGUGUAACUGUGGAAACUGGUGUUAUUUUUCCUUGCAUUUGAAAACUUCCCAAGAUCUCAUGUUUUAUAAUAGACAAAGUUCUAAAGAAAUCAUGGUGCCAUUGAAUUGAUCUCAAGUUCUAGAGGAGGACCCGAGUCUCCUCUGUACGCUGUUUACAUCAUGUUACUCAUAGGGGCCAUGUUCCCUGCUGUGGAUGUCUUCAGUACUGACAUUUGGAAAAGCCACAAGAUCCAUAAAUGAUCAUGGUACAGAGAUGUGGGGUAGCUCCAUACUGGGAAGAUGGGCAGAUAAAGACAUGAUGUUGGAAGGAAACUAACAUAAUACUCCUGUGACGGGAUUAACCAGAAUCACUGUACACUACUAUUAACCCCAAAUGAGAUUCCAGCUCUGUGACUAGCAUAGAGAGUGCUAACCCAUGCUCAAAAAAUCAAGCUUCAAAAGUGAGAAAGUAUUGGGAUAUAUAACCUUAAGAAAGCUGUAGUUUUCUUUUCAAAAUGAGAUAUACACCUUAUUUGUUAAGCGAAAAAACCUUUUUUGUGUAUAAAUCCUUUCCUCAAUUUUGUGAAUAGAGGUGAUGUCCAUGUAUGUAUGGCUGGGUAUUUUGGUAAUCUCAGCAGCACACAAAUCAUCCAGAGGGCAUUGAGCAAUCCCCUGGGCACAAUCUUAGCCCAUGGAAAAUGCCCCACAUUUGAAUCAAGCAGACUGAGGUUCAUUGUUGUUACCACCAGACGUCUCACACCAGACGUGACACUGGUGACUCAGCUAUCUUCUUUGAGCCUCCUCAAAGAGGAGGAACUGUCACCAGCGUUGGUGAUGAGCACACCCACAGGAGUGUUGAUCCUCAGUGGUAGCCUCUUUUCCUCACUGCACCUUCCCUCCAGAUCUAGAGCAGGCCGCCUAUCCUGGAAAGGCAGAAGGUCACAAAAGAUGACUACAGAGUAAGCAUGACCAAAAGGCCAAGUUGAAGCUAGCCAGGAUUUGAGGACUAAGAGUUUUACCACAAAUGCCCAGAGUUCUUAGAUUAUUGAGAGAAUACUGAAUGGAGAAAGCUUGUCACAGCCACUUCAAAGACAUGGCAUCAGCAUUUUCUCAGAGUUUUUAGUCAUAAAUAGAUCAUAAAUAGCUCUGACAUCCCAGACUUGCCACCCAUCUUUCCUGGGACUGCACAUCUCAGCACCCACUCUUUGUCUCACCUUCUUAUCCAGCAAGGAUCCACACAUGGCCAUGCUACUCUAGACCAUGGCACAGCCUAGCAGCUUGGUCAUAGACCAAGGCCAAGCAGUCACUAGGCCUUUUUGGCACCAGGGACCAAUUUCAUGGAAGACAAGCUUUCUGCAAUUUGGGAUUGGGGUAGAGAGGGUGGUAGUGAUUAGGGGGGCAUAUAAUUUCUGGAUGAUUCAAAGCAGCACUCAAACUAGAUCCCUCAAAUGCAGCCAGGCUCACAGUUGGGUUUGAGUUCAAUAAGAAUCUAAUACAACCACUGAUCUGACAGGAGGCAGAUCUCAGACAGUGAUUUGACUUUAUUUACUUAUUGCUGAGACAAAACACCUGACAUCCAAAGUUAAAGGAGAAAGGUUUAUUUUAGCUCACAGUUUGUAGAGGUUUCAGUCCACAGUUGACUAGUUCCAAAGCAGGGCAACAUGGCACAGGUGUAUCUCAGAGUAGAAACUCCAUGCCAAGCAAGCAGGAGACAGCGAAGUAGCAAGGAGCAGCAGCAGCAGUCUGCCUUCUCUCUGAUCCUUUAUAUUCCAUACAGGUUACGAGCCUGUUGAUUGAUGUGACCCAUACUCAGGGUGAGACUUCCAUUAUCCACACCCAGUAUUACACCAUUAAUCCACAUUCACAUACCCGAAUCCAGACACCUUCGAAACUCCCCGCUUAUGAUCGCUCGAGGCUUUGGGGGGACAUCUAGAUACAAGCCAUACCAGGAAGUAGCUGUAAGUACAGGGCUUUGCUACCUUGCUCAUCUGCCUCUCCCCUCUGCCAUUUACUAGCAGAACAAUACCAUUUCCUGGUACAGAGGACAGGCACCCCCACUCUUGCCCAUUCUCCCUUCCUGGCUAUCACAGGAGCCUUCCUGGCUCCACUGCCACCUCUCUCCCCACCUCCUCAGUUCCAGAAUCAUCCGUAGCCACAAGCACAGCCUCUGCUCCUCCCUUUCACCCCAGUCCCUCUCCUUCAGGCCCAACAGCUGAGAAGGUAUGAAGAAUAUGAACAUUUUGUUAGGAAUGGUAUUAGCAAUCUUUUAAUGAUUAUAAAAGUAAUACUUGUUCACUGUAGAAGAACAUGGAAAAAACAAGAAGGAACACAAGCUUAUUCAUCCAGAUGACCACUGGUGGCCUGCUGCUCGUGGUCCUCCAGACACCUACUCUUUCUUGGUGCUAACCAGGGUCCUCCCAUAUCAUAAAAAAGUCAUUGGGUUUCUGUAAUCAAACCCAUGUAGAUAUGACCUUACAUAUUUAAUUCAGUGCAUUACCGCUGUAGAAAUAGGAAAACAAUUAACAUUUCUAGACCAUUAUGGCUGUUAAUUACUGUACAAUGCCAACUCAACACAGUAAAUUGGGAUAACAUCUUCCAAAGUCGACAGCACAGUUGAAGUUUCCAAAAAUUCAAAUUAUAUAUAUAUGUGUGUGUGUAUGUAUAUAUAUGUAUUUAUAUAUAUUUAUAUAAAAACAGUAAUAGCAGUAUGUUAUGCAUCAAUAGCAGAAGCUAAUAAAAUAUUCUCUAAUAAAAAAAAUAAUAUACGAC
Molecule: long non-coding RNA, 3922 nt
Organism: Fukomys damarensis (Damara mole-rat)
Lineage: Eukaryota; Metazoa; Chordata; Mammalia; Rodentia; Bathyergidae
Source: Ensembl